This 579-nucleotide ribosomal RNA is filed under the name Papiliotrema flavescens. RNAcentral describes it as "partial large subunit ribosomal RNA". It matches the Rfam family "Eukaryotic large subunit ribosomal RNA", at positions 91 to 659 of the family's 3401-position model. The record is from RNAcentral. Lineage: Eukaryota; Fungi; Basidiomycota; Tremellomycetes; Tremellales; Rhynchogastremaceae.
GAGUGAACCGGGAAGAGCUCAAAUUUGAAAUCUGGCGUGCUCAGUGCGUCCGAGUUGUAAUCUAUAGAGUCGUUUUCCGUGCCGGACUGUGUCCAAGUCCCUUGGAACAGGGUAUCAAAGAGGGUGAUAAUCCCGUACUUGACACAAUGACCGGUGCUCUGUGAUACGUCUUCUACGAGUCGAGUUGUUUGGGAAUGCAGCUCAAAAUGGGUGGUGAGUUCCAUCUAAAGCUAAAUAUUGGCGAGAGACCGAUAGCGAACAAGUACCGUGAGGGAAAGAUGAAAAGCACUUUGGAAAGAGAGUUAAACAGUACGUGAAAUUGUUAAAAGGGAAACGAUUGAAGUCAGUCGUGACUGAGAGGCUCAGCCGGUUCUGCCGGUGUAUUCCCCUCAGUCGGGUCAACAUCAGUUUUGUUCGGUGGAUAAGGGCAGUUGGAAGGUGGCACCCUCGGGUGUGUUAUAGCCAGCUGUCGCAUACAUCGGAUGAGACUGAGGAAUGCAGCUCGCCUUUAUGGCCGGGGUUCGCCCACGUUCGAGCUUAGGAUGUUGACAUAAUGGCUUUAAACGACCCGUCUUGAAA